AGGUCUUUGCCUGCCCAGUGACAAGUUAAACGGCCGCGGUAUUUUGACCGUGCGAAGGUAGCGCAAUCACUUGUCUUUUAAAUGAAGACCUGUAUGAAUGGCGGAACGAGGGCUUAACUGUCUCCCCUUUCAAGUCAAUGAAAUUGAUCUGCCCGUGCAGAAGCGGGUAUAUAAAUACAAGACGAGAAGACCCUUUGGAGCUUAAGAUAUAAGAUCAACUACGUCAAGGGCACAAACCAAACUAAGUAGCACCUGAUAAAUAUCUUCGGUUGGGGCGACCACGGGAGAAAAUAAAGCUCCCAUGCGGACUGGGGCUACACCCUAAAACCAAGAAAGACAUUUCUAAGUCACAGAACAUCUGACCAUAAAGAUCCGGCCACCCGCCGAUCAACGGACCAAGUUACCCUAGGGAUAACAGCGCAAUCCCCUUUCAGAGUCCAUAUCGACAAGGGGGUUUACGACCUCGAUGUUGGAUCAGGACAUCCUAUUGGUGCAGCCGCUAUUAAGGGUUCGUUUGUUCAACGAUUAAAGUCCUACGUGAUCU
This 544-nucleotide ribosomal RNA is filed under the name Tenellus cristinae. RNAcentral describes it as "partial 16S ribosomal RNA". It matches the Rfam family "Bacterial large subunit ribosomal RNA", at positions 1849 to 2606 of the family's 2925-position model. Lineage: Eukaryota; Metazoa; Chordata; Actinopteri; Siluriformes; Doradidae. The record is from RNAcentral.